GCAAGCGUUGUUCGGAUUUACUGGGCGUAAAGGGCGCGUAGGCGGUCAGCACAAGUCAGUUGUGAAAUCUCCGGGCUUAACUCGGAAAGGUCAACUGAUACUGUGCGACUAGAGUGCGGAAGGGGCAACUGGAAUUCUCGGUGUAGCGGUGAAAUGCGUAGAUAUCGAGAGGAACACCUGCGGCGAAGGCGGGUUGCUGGGCCGACACUGACGCUGAUGCGCGAAAGCCAGGGGAGCGAACGGG
Molecule: ribosomal RNA, 244 nt
Filed under: uncultured bacterium
Lineage: Bacteria
Description: partial 16S ribosomal RNA
Rfam family: Bacterial small subunit ribosomal RNA
Source: RNAcentral